GUGACAAAAAAAUUUACACGAAUCAAAUUAACUCGUAAACUGCUCGUGUCCAAAGAUAUUUCUAUUUAUCGAAAUUUGAAGAUCAAAAACAGAGCGGCAGAAGAUGAAGAAGAAAUUCGGAGGGACAAAGCCAGUAGGAACGCCGUCAUUGGGCUGGUCAAGUGUCGUCGUAAUUGUCUCUCUUCUCGCCGGCGCCUCUGUCGUCCACAACAUCUAUAAGCCUGAUUUGACUCUCCCUCCAAUAGAUAGUGUUGGUGCAGCCAAACCAGGACAACCUGAAUAACAUUGAAGUCCUCUUACCAUUGGAUCAUUUAUUUUUGACAGUUGUAUUAAAGUAUACUAGAGAAAUAAAAAUAAUUAUAAGUAUUGUUGUUUUUUAGUUGCUGAUCGAAUUUUGUAGACAUCUAAUCUAAGCAUAUCUGGAUUCGAAUUACUUCUUCUUUUUUCUUAUAUAAGCCUUUUCUUUUGUAGACA
This is a long non-coding RNA of Daucus carota subsp. sativus, 474 nucleotides long. RefSeq lists it as uncharacterized. The transcript is spliced from 2 exons. The record is from RefSeq and is a predicted model, not a curated record. Lineage: Eukaryota; Viridiplantae; Streptophyta; Magnoliopsida; Apiales; Apiaceae.